Molecule: ribosomal RNA, 799 nt
Filed under: uncultured marine bacterium
Lineage: Bacteria
Description: bacterial SSU rRNA
Rfam family: Bacterial small subunit ribosomal RNA
Source: RNAcentral
AAUAUGCCCGGUACUAAGGAAUAGCCUUUGGAAACGAAGAGUAAUACUUUAUACGCCCUUCGGGGGAAAGAUUUAUCGGUAUCGGAUUAGCCCGCGUAAGAUUAGAUAGUUGGUGGGGUAAUGGCCUACCAAGUCUACGAUCUUUAGCUGGUUUUAGAGGAUGAUCAGCAACACUGGGACUGAGACACGGCCCAGACUCCUACGGGAGGCAGCAGUGGGGAAUCUUAGACAAUGGGCGCAAGCCUGAUCUAGCCAUGCCGCGUGAGUGAAGAAGGCCUUAGGGUCGUAAAACUCUUUCGCCAGAGAUGAUAAUGACAGUAUCUGGUAAAGAAACCCCGGCUAACUCCGUGCCAGCAGCCGCGGUAAUACGGAGGGGGUUAGCGUUGUUCGGAAUUACUGGGCGUAAAGCGCACGUAGGCGGACUGGAAAGUUGGGGGUGAAAUCCCGGGGCUCAACCUCGGAACUGCCUCCAAAACUAUCAGUCUAGAGUUCGAGAGAGGUGAGUGGAAUUCCAAGUGUAGAGGUGAAAUUCGUAGAUAUUUGGAGGAACACCAGUGGCGAAGGCGGCUCACUGGCUCGAUACUGACGCUGAGGUGCGAAAGUGUGGGGAGCAAACAGGAUUAGAUACCCUGGUAGUCCACACCGUAAACGAUGAAUGCCAGUCGUCGGCAAGUAUACUUGUCGGUGACACACCUAACGGAUUAAGCAUUCCGCCUGGGGAGUACAGUCGCAAGAUUAAAACUCAAAGGAAUUGACGGGGGCCCGCACAAGCGGUGGAGCAUAUGGUUUAAUUCGAAGC